Paramuricea clavata is the source of this 293-nucleotide non-coding RNA. NCBI's taxonomy places the organism in Eukaryota, Metazoa, Cnidaria, Anthozoa, Malacalcyonacea, Plexauridae. The record is from the annotation of a GenBank genome assembly.
CCGAAUAAUCUGCAAUUGUUUCACUGUUAUUAUGGCAAGAGAGAAUUCAAGGGCAAAAUAAACGGCGAUUUAGUGGAAAUAGAUUUGUUAAAAAUGCAAAGAAAUCGUGUACAAAUGGACCCACCAAAAUUGUGCUAACAGUAAAUAUGACGCCGAUGCUCAAUCAACUUCCAGUGCAAGUGUUUCAGCUUCAUCGCGAAAAAUCAACGUUAUAGAAUCGCCAAAUGCCACUAAAGAAUCGCUACAUGCAACAGGCUAUCGUUUCAUUGAUAUAGAAAUUCUCAGUGAAGUUU